RNAcentral lists this ribosomal RNA (641 nucleotides) under Eleutherodactylus cf. auriculatus 4 AR-2009. RNAcentral's name for it is "partial 16S ribosomal RNA". The stretch from base 1 to 444 matches the Rfam family "Bacterial large subunit ribosomal RNA", at positions 614 to 1301 of the family's 2925-position model. The record is from RNAcentral. Lineage: Eukaryota; Metazoa; Chordata; Amphibia; Anura; Eleutherodactylidae.
CAUGGUUUAGCUAGUCUAACCAAGCAAAAAGAAAUUCAGUUUGACUUCCCGAAACUAAGUGAGCUACCUUAAGACAGCCUAAUGGGCAAACCCGUCUCUGUUGCAAAAGAGUGGGAAGAUCUUAAAGUAGAGGUGAUAUACCUAACGAACUUAGCAAUAGCUGGUUAUUUAGGAAAAGAAUCUUAGUUCAACCUAAAGCUUUAUCAAUACCCCAAAAUAAUUAACUUUAGAGCUAUUCAAAUAAGUCACAGCUUGUUUGAAAUAGGAUACAACCUCAACCUGUGGGUAAUUAAUUACUGAACAAAAACAAGUAGGCCUAAAAGCAGCCACCUUUGAAAAAGCGUCAAAGCUUAACCUCCAACACUUUUAUAAUCCCUUAAACUAUUAAAAACCCCUCAACAGUACUAAAUAAUCCUAUACCCCUAUAGGACUCUUUAUGCUAAAACUAGUAACAAGAAAACCUUCUCUUAUAUGUAAGUGUAAAUCAGAAUAGAAAUACUACUGAUACCUAACAGCUUUAACUUAAAGUACUAAACUACUUAGAAAAAUCUACUGACUUAGCUGUUAAUCUAACACAAGAGCAUAAAAAGAAAGAUUAUAAGAAAAAGAAGGAAUUCGGCAAACCUUGAUUCCGCCUGUUU